This 253-nucleotide ribosomal RNA is filed under the name uncultured bacterium. RNAcentral describes it as "partial 16S ribosomal RNA". It matches the Rfam family "Bacterial small subunit ribosomal RNA", at positions 524 to 776 of the family's 1533-position model. The record is from RNAcentral.
UACGUAGGGCGCAAGCGUUAUCCGGAAUUAUUGGGCGUAAAGGGCUCGUAGGCGGUUUGUCGCGUCGGGAGUGAAAACACUGGGCUUAACUCAGUGCUUGCUUUCGAUACGGGCAGACUAGAGGUAUGCAGGGGAGAACGGAAUUCCUGGUGUAGCGGUGAAAUGCGCAGAUAUCAGGAGGAACACCGGUGGCGAAGGCGGUUCUCUGGGCAUUACCUGACGCUGAGGAGCGAAAGUGUGGGGAGCGAACAGG